Long non-coding RNA from Felis catus (domestic cat), 694 nucleotides. RefSeq lists it as uncharacterized. The transcript is spliced from 4 exons. NCBI's taxonomy places the organism in Eukaryota, Metazoa, Chordata, Mammalia, Carnivora, Felidae. The record is from RefSeq and is a predicted model, not a curated record.
UUAUAGCAACAGGUAUACAUAGCAAGAGGUAACUUGUUUUUCUACUAUUUGUAGUUUGCUGUGAUAUUUAUAGUUGUUCCUUUCUAUAAGCAGGAAAUGUAGCUGUUUUAUUUUGGAGCUAUUAUUUCAUCCCAAAUGGUUAGAGACUCAAGUCAUUUCCUUUUUGGGAAAUUCAACCUAAUUUGGGAAGUCAGUAGAGAAUGGUGACUAUGAUCUUGGACUUCAGAGUUAAACAGGUGACCUCUGAAUCUUACCAGGACUAGGAGUUGCAUGAAUUCGGCAAUGGCAUCAUUUCUACUAUUAUUCCAGGGAAAGUCCUUUUUCAGAAAUCAGUAAAUCAGUGGGUAUUUUUGGCCCUGCCUUCCUCCUGUGACAUCUGACUUGACAAAACCAAUCUUGAAUCCUGACUGCGGAUGAAAGAAGUUAACUCAUCUCCACGUAGGGCAGUGCAGAUGGACUCCACGAGAAAUUCUCUGAAAUGUCACAGUAAAGGUUGGCGAUGUGUCUGUGAAUCACUCUCGCUUCCUUUCGGGCCUUCCGGGUUUUAAAGGGUGGGCUGGGGGCGGCGAACGACUGCCACUGCCCGGGCAGCGACCUCACUGGGACAUCCAAGUUGAAUGCGUGGAGGUGAACCGCGCUCCUGAUGCCCGCGGCUCUCUCACUCGGCUCCAUUCAGAUCAGAUGGGGGGGGGGG